RNAcentral lists this ribosomal RNA (253 nucleotides) under uncultured bacterium. RNAcentral describes it as "partial 16S ribosomal RNA". It matches the Rfam family "Bacterial small subunit ribosomal RNA", at positions 524 to 776 of the family's 1533-position model. The record is from RNAcentral.
UACGUAGGGUGCAAGCGUUGUCCGGAUUUACUGGGCGUAAAGGGUGCGUAGGCGGACAUUUAAGUCAGAUGUGAAAUACCCGAGCUUAACUUGGGUGCUGCAUUUGAAACUGGGUGUCUAGAGUGCAGGAGAGGUAAGUGGAAUUCCUAGUGUAGCGGUGAAAUGCGUAGAGAUUAGGAAGAACACCAGUGGCGAAGGCGACUUACUGGACUGUAACUGACGCUGAGGCAUGAAAGCGUGGGGAGCAAACAGG